AGAUUUUGUAUCAUCCUUGGAUGUUUUUGGUAUUAAAUCCUCACUAGCCAUUAUUAUUGUAUCGUCUGAUUAACGGCCAGUGCCAUUUUUACCUGCAGCAGAUGUCAUAUAAAAUCACACAGUAGUAAAUUAAUGAUUAUAUUUCGUUUCCUUUAUGGCGAUUCCUAGGAAGCUUUGUCAAGAUUCAUUAAUUACACACGUGGUCUUUGAACAAGCAGUGAAAACAAACAGGUAGAAAAUGAAGAUGUACAACGUCAAUCUUCCUUUUAGCAAACACACGUCAUAUGCUAUGUAGAAAAGGUGCCUAGGGAUACAUAAAAUGUCAGAGGAUACAUAUAUUAUAGAUUUCAACCAGUUUAUUUAAAUUUUUGUGUAAUCCGUGCAAUAUAUGUUUGUUCCACUAAACUUCCUCCGUUGCAUUCAGAAUUUGUUGACAUUUAUUGAAAUUUAUA
This 452-nucleotide long non-coding RNA is filed under the name Mytilus galloprovincialis (Mediterranean mussel). Lineage: Eukaryota; Metazoa; Mollusca; Bivalvia; Mytilida; Mytilidae. The record is from RNAcentral.